UUCCAGACUCCUACGGGAGGCAGCAGUGAGGAAUAUUGGUCAAUGGGCGAGAGCCUGAACCAGCCAAGUCGCGUGGGGGAGUACUGCCCUAUGGGUUGUAAACCUCUUUUGUCGGGGAGCAAAAGCCGGACGUGUCCGGCUGUGAGAGUACCCGAAGAAAAAGCAUCGGCUAACUCCGUGCCAGCAGCCGCGGUAAUACGGAGGAUGCGAGCGUUAUCCGGAUUUAUUGGGUUUAAAGGGUGCGCAGGCGGAUUUUUAAGUCAGCGGUCAAAUCGUGGGGCUCAACCCCAUCCAGCCGUUGAAACUGGGGAUCUAGAGUGUGCGAGAGGUAUGCGGAAUGCGUGGUGUAGCGGUGAAAUGCUUAGAUAUCACGAAGAACUCCGAUUGCGAAGGCAGCUCACUGGACUGCAACUGACACUGAGGCUCGAAAGUGUGGGUAUCAAACAGGAUUAGAUACCCGGGUAC
Molecule: ribosomal RNA, 465 nt
Filed under: uncultured bacterium
Lineage: Bacteria
Description: bacterial SSU rRNA
Rfam family: Bacterial small subunit ribosomal RNA
Source: RNAcentral